This is a long non-coding RNA of Pongo pygmaeus (Bornean orangutan), 1645 nucleotides long. RefSeq lists it as uncharacterized. The transcript has 3 exons. The record is from RefSeq and is a predicted model, not a curated record. Lineage: Eukaryota; Metazoa; Chordata; Mammalia; Primates; Hominidae.
AGAGCCGCAGCCGCCGCGCAGGCAGGGCCGGGCCGGGCCGGGUGCGCGGGCACAAAGGGGCCGCUGCACAUGGCAGGCAGGCGAGCAGAUGCCAGCAGACAGCUUUUGUUGGAUGAAGUCUACUCUCCAGUGUAUUCUUCAGGAAGAGCAUUAGCACACUCUUCCAUGGAUAGCUUGGAUGGAUAUUAAAUCUGUGACUGGCACUUUCUUUCCUUGAGUCCAUGAAAAUGCUGCUUCACUCCUGCCUGACCUUUUCUGAGGCUGUGAGAAGCCUGAUGCCCUGCCUGAUUUUCUUUCCUUGUUUUGUGGAAGGUAGUACUUGCCAGGGAUGAAACUGGAUAUUUUACUGAGGAGAUUUCUAAGCAAAAUGUUGAAGAAGUGACUUGGUUCCUCCCAGUUGCCUGUAGUAAAAUGCAAGAAGAGAGAAAUGAAUUGAAAAAGGAAUUGUUAAGCAAAAAGGAACCAGAGUUUAAAGAUUUGGAAAAUUUUCUGUCUGUUCAUAUGAAAAAAAUGAGAAAGUGUGUACUGAAGAGAACACUACGGGUGUGGUGGACCAACCAUUUCAUAAAGAGAUUAGUGUGGCUGUGUACCAUGAACUUAAUCAGCCAUUUCAACAGAGGCCAGGAAUACAGAUGGGAUUACACCUGCAGAGACACUGCUAGCUGGGACUAAAAAAAACAACAUGGGACUAAAAAAAACAACAUGGGAUGAAAUGAAGAAGGUGGUGACUUUGUGCUAUCCUCUAGUGAAAGGGAUGAAGGGCCCCGAGGCAAUUUGGAGGUCCUCUGCCUCCAAUUUGAAGGACCAUUGCCUUGGUUUCAAUAGUCCAGACAGCUUCCAGCCGAAGAUGUGGAGGCACAAUCUUUGCCUGGCAGAGAAGCUAGGGGUGCAACUUCUGGCCAGGAGAGCUGCUGGGGUGGGACCUUUACCCUAGUGGCUCCGGAAGGCAGGGCAUCAAACCAAGGAUUACUCCCAAGCCUUAAGAUUUCAUGGAGUUUGCUUUGUAGUUUGGACUUGCUUGGGACUGGGUCACCCCUUCCUUCUCUGUUUCUUGCUUUUGGAAUGGGAAUGCCUGUCCUAUGCCUGUCCCACCAAUGUAUUUUGGAAGCAUACAACUUGUUUGGUUUCACAGAUUUGCAGCUGGAGAGGAAUUUUGCCCCAGGAUGAAUCAUACCUCGAGUCUCACUGUACCUAAUUUAGAUGAUAUUUAGAAAAGACUUUGGACUUUAGACAUUAGCGUUGUUGCUGGAAUGAGUUAAGACUUUAGGGGAUGGAAUGAAUGUACAGAUGCUCCUUGACUUAGAAUGGGGUUAUGUCCCAAUAAACCCAUUGUAAGUAAAAAAAAAUAAGUAAAAAUGCAUUCAGUACCCUGAUAAACCCAUAGUAAAGUCAAAAAAUCAGAAGAUGCUUUUCAACUUACAAUGCGGUUAUUUAUUUCCUGAUAGACCCAUCGCAAAAUUUAAAAAUUGUAAGUUGAACCAUCAUAUGUUGAGGACCAUGUGUAUUUGGCACAUGAGAAGGACGUGAAUUUUGGGGGGCCAUGGGUAGAAUGCUAUGGACUGUACUUAUGUGUCUCCCUAAAAUUCAUAUGUUAUGACCCUAGUUCCUAAUAUGAUGAGAAAAUAAAUGUUCGUUGUUUAGGCCA